Molecule: ribosomal RNA, 230 nt
Filed under: uncultured bacterium
Lineage: Bacteria
Description: partial 16S ribosomal RNA
Rfam family: Bacterial small subunit ribosomal RNA
Source: RNAcentral
UAGGGAUCUGCCCUGUAGUGGGGGACAACCCGGGGAAACUCGGGCUAAUACCGCAUACUACUCUGAGGAGGAAAGCUGGGAGCAAUCCUGGCGCUAUGGGAGGAACCCGCGUCCGAUUAGCUAGCUGGUGAGGUAAAGGCUCACCAGGGCGAUGAUCGGUAGCUGGUCUGAGAGGAUGACCAGCCACACGUGGGACUGAGACACGGCCCAGACCUCCGUACGGGAGGCAG